Molecule: ribosomal RNA, 498 nt
Filed under: uncultured bacterium
Lineage: Bacteria
Description: partial 16S ribosomal RNA
Rfam family: Bacterial small subunit ribosomal RNA
Source: RNAcentral
GACGAACGCUGGCGGCGUGCCUAAUACAUGCAAGUCGAGCGGACGAAUCGAAAGCUUGCUUUUGAUUCGUUAGCGGCGGACGGGUGAGUAACACGUGGGCAACCUGCCCUGUAGACGGGGAUAACACCGAGAAAUCGGUGCUAAUACCGGAUAACACGAAAUGUCGCAUGACGUUUCGUUGAAAGGCGGCGCAAGCUGCCGCUACAGGAUGGGCCCGCGGCGCAUUAGCUAGUUGGUGAGGUAACGGCUCACCAAGGCGACGAUACGUAGCCGACCUGAGAGGGUGAUCGGCCACACUGGGACUGAGACACGGCCCAGACUCCUACGGGAGGCAGCAGUAGGGAAUCUUCCGCAAUGGACGAAAGUCUGACGGAGCAACGCCGCGUGAGCGAAGAAGGCCUUCGGGUCGUAAAGCUCUGUUGUUAGGGAAGAACAAGUAACGCAGUAACUGGCGUUACCGUGACGGUACCUAACGAGAAAGCCACGGCUAACUACGUG